Molecule: ribosomal RNA, 2175 nt
Filed under: bacterium
Lineage: Bacteria
Description: partial 23S ribosomal RNA
Rfam family: Bacterial large subunit ribosomal RNA
Source: RNAcentral
GGUCAAGUUAGGAAGGGCAUAUGGUGGAUGCCAAUGGCAUCAGGAGGCGAAGAAGGACGUGGCAGGCUGCGAAAAGCCACGGGGAGCUGCGAGUGAGCGUAGAUCCGUGGAUGUCCGAAUGGGGCAACCCAUCCUGAGGAAAGUCAGGAUAUCACUAUCUGAAUACAUAGGGUAGUGAGGCGAACCCGGGGAAGUGAAACAUCUCAGUACCCGGAGGAAGAGAAAUCAAACGAGAUUCCCUGAGUAGCGGCGAGCGAACGGGGAAGAGCCCAAACCCCUCCAUAAAUACAAGUGUUGAAUGCUAAAUGCUGGAUGUUGGGUUGAAUGAAUUUUUUCAUUUAACAUACAACACUCAACAUUCAACAUUUCUGUUUAUGGAGGGGGGUUGUAGGACCGCGUAAGUAGGAACACCACAGUAUAGUUGAACGCUCUGGAAAGGGCGACCGGAGGGGGUGACAGUCCCGUAGGCGCAAUGCUGUGGAAACCGAAGCGGUAUCCUGAGUACCACAGGGCACGAGGAAUCCUGUGGGAAGCUGGGGGGACCAUCCUCCAAGGCUAAACACUCUACUGAUGACCGAUAGUGGACAAGUACCGUGAGGGAAAGGUGAAAAGAACCCCGGUGAGGGGAGUGAAAUAGAACCUGAAACCGUAUGCUUACAAGCAAUCGGAGUCUCGUAGUAAUACGGGAUGACGGUGUGCCUUUUGAUUAAUGAGCCGGCGAGUUACUGGCACAAGCGAGGUUAAGUCCUUCAGGGAUGGAGCCGUAGGGAAACCGAGUCUUAACAGGGCGAGUGAGUUUGUGUCAGUAGACCCGAAGCCAGGUGAGCUACCCAUGGUCAGGGUGAAGCGAAGGUAAGACUUCGUGGAGGCCCGAACUGAUGUUUGUUGCAAAAAGCUCGGAUGAACUGUGGGUAGGGGUGAAAGGCCAAUCAAACCUGGUGAUAGCUGGUUCUCCCCGAAAUGUAUUUAGGUACAGCCUCAGUGCAACCUUAUGGGGGUAGGGCACUGGAUGGGCUAGGGCCUCGAAUGGGGUACCAAACCCAACCAAACCGCGAAUACCAUGGAGGUGGUCGCUGGGAGUGAGACUGCGGGUGCUAAGAUUCGUAGUCGAGAGGGAAACAGCCCAGACCGUCAGCUAAGGUCCCUAAGGGUAUGCUAAGUGGUAAAGGAUGUGGUGUUGCGGAGACAGCCAGGAUGUUGGCUUAGAAGCAGCCAUCAUUAAAAGAAAGCGUAACAGCUCACUGGUCAAGCGACAUCGCGCCGAAAAUUUAACGGGGCUAAGCAUACUACCGAAGCUACGGACUUCCGGGUUGUGAACAAAGUUCACAAUCGGAGUGUUGAAUGUUGAGUUUUGGGUGUUGGAUGAAGAAGUUUUUCAUUCAGCAUUCAACAUCUAACAUUUAAAAUUCCGGAUUGUGGGUUUUAGUCACAAUCCGGGAGUGGUAGGGGAGCAUUCUGUAGGCCGUUGAAGGUUCCGGGUGACCGGGGCUGGAGGUAGCAGAAGAGAUUAUGCCGGCAUAAGUAGCGCAAAUUCUGAUGAAAAGUCAGGACGCCGUAAACCUAAGGUUUCCUGGGGAAGGGACAUCCGCCCAGGGUUAGUCGGGCCUAAGGCGAGGCCGAAAGGCGUAGCUGAUGGACAACUGGUUAAUAUUCCAGUACCGUCUUGUGUGCGUUUGACUGAAGGGGUGACGCAGGAGGAUAGUUUGAGCCUGGUGAUGGUUCAGGUCCAAGCACUGAGGCUGGGAAGUAGGUAAACCCGCUUCCCGUUAAGGCUGAGGUGUGAUGGGGAAGGCCGUAAGGCUGAACUUGAGUGAUUCCACACUGACGAGAAAACCCUCGUAGGGAGUACAUGGGAUGACCGUACCGCAAACCGACACUGGUAGGUGGGUAGAAGAUACCAAGGCGUACGAGAUAACCCUCGCUAAGGAACUCGGCAAAGUGGCCCCGUAACUUCGGGAGAAGGGGUCCCACCGCAAGGUGGGUGCAAUAAAGAGGCUCAGGCGACUGUUUAGCAAAAACACAGGUGUCUGCGAACUCGUAAGAGGAUGUAUAGGCACUGACGCCUGCCCGGUGCCGGAAGGUUAAUGGGAGAAGUCAUCUUCGCAAGAGGAGAAGCUUUGAACUGAAGCCCUGGUAAACGGCGGCCGUAACUAUAACGGUCCUAAGGUAGCGAAA